Molecule: ribosomal RNA, 567 nt
Filed under: uncultured Actinomycetes bacterium
Lineage: Bacteria; Bacillati; Actinomycetota; Actinomycetes
Description: bacterial SSU rRNA
Rfam family: Bacterial small subunit ribosomal RNA
Source: RNAcentral
CCUACGGGAGGCAGCAGUGGGGAAUAUUGCGCAAUGGACGAAAGUCUGACGCAGCGACGCCUCGUGAGGGACGAAGGUCUUCGGAUUGUAAACCUCUUUCAGCAGGGACGAAGCGAAAGUGACGGUACCUGCAGAAGAAGCACCGGCUAACUAUGUGCCAGCAGCCGCGGUAAUACAUAGGGUGCAAGCGUUGUCCGGAUUUAUUGGGCGUAAAGAGUUCGUAGGCGGUUUUUCGCGUCGGAUGUGAAAACUCAGGGCUCAACCCUGAGCCUGCAUUCGAUACGGGAAGACUCGAGGACGGCAGGGGAGACUGGAACUUCUGGUGUAGCGGUGGAAUGCGCAGAUAUCAGAAGGAACACCAAUGGCGAAGGCAGGUCUCUGGGCCAUUACUGACACUGAGGAGCGAAAGCGCGGGGAGCGAACAGGAUUAGAUACCCUGGUAGUCCGCGCCGUAAACGGUGGGCACUAGUUGUGGGAACCUUCCACGGUUUCCGCGACGCAGCUAACGCAUUAAGUGCCCCGCCUGGGGAGUACGAUCGCAAGAUUAAAACUCAAAGGAAUUGACGG